Molecule: long non-coding RNA, 1377 nt
Filed under: Papio anubis (olive baboon)
Lineage: Eukaryota; Metazoa; Chordata; Mammalia; Primates; Cercopithecidae
Description: lncRNA (ENSPANG00000043230.1)
Source: RNAcentral
UCUCCCUCAUUAUCGGUGCUCCUGCCCCGAGGGCCAGCCAGGGGCCCCACACACCGCAGUCUUUUGGCUGGGGUCAGAGAAACCUUACGGGCAAGGGCAACAAUAAAACUACCACCUUACCACCCCAGAGUGCAUUCCCCUGAGCAGAGACCCCAGACUGCAUCAGCCCCACCCCGAGCAGAGACUCCUGCCUGCCUCAGUCCACCUGUCCAGAGACCCCGGCCUGCAUCAGCCCCACCACGAGCGGAGACCCCAAGACCCCAGUCUGCCUCAGUCCACCCAUCCGGACACCCCCUGCCUGCCUCAGCCCACCCUGGGCAGAGACCCCCAAACCCCUGGCUGCGUCAGCCCACCUGGAGCAGAGACCUCGAGACCCCCUGCCUGCAUCAGCCCCACCCCGAGCAGACUCCAAAACCCUGGUGUGCCUCAGUCCACCUGUCCAGAGACCCCUGCCUGCCUCAGCCCACCCCGAGCAGACUCCUGCCUGCCUCAGCCCACCCCGAGCAGAGACCCCAAGACCCCUGGCUGCCUCAGCCCACCUGGAGUGGAGACUCCGAGACCUCUGCCUGCAUCAGCUCCUCCCAUCCAGAGACCCCCUGCCUGCCUCAGCCCACGCCAAGCAGAGACCCCAAGAUCCCUGCCUGCAUCAGCCCCACCCAUCUGGAGCCCCUGGCCUGCCUCAGCCCACCCAUCCCCCUUCAUUGCAUUGGUCUCCAUUCCUUUCUCCACAGCUUCCCAGCACUCUUGGGCCAAGGCCUUUCCCCAGCUCCAGGUCCAGCUGCAAGUGAGGUUCAGGCCUCCCUUGGCCCGUGCCACGGGGAGAGGCAGUCACCUGGCGAGGAUGCCCGGGUGUGGAGGAGGGACCUGGGCUGGGGCUGUGUCAUGGGGAGGGGCCGGGGAUGCCCCCUAGCGGACCAGGAUGGGGACUCUGAUGCGGGGAUGUGCGGGGAGGUGGUCGCAGAGGCAGAGGGAGGGCAAAGCUGGAAACGGGGAGGGGAAAGGCCCCUCACACUGGGUGCCCGCCCUGCAAGUGUUGUGCUGGCCAGGAUGAGAAGCUGCGGCCACUCAGCAGCCCUGGAGCAGCCCAUGGACGGCCCAGGCCACUGGGGAGGCUCCAGGGAGGGGCUGGCAGGCAGAGGCCCAGAGGCAGGACCCGCAGCUCAAGUUGAAUGGGCACCAGGGCCACAAGGAGGCCGAGGCCGAGGUCGGGGCACCGUGGGACCCCUGCCCGCAAGGAGGGGUGUGCCCCGUGGGCUGUGCAGGGCUGGGUCUUGCUGUUUUGGCCCGUGCUUUCCCUCUGUGCCUCUGCCUGUUCGGAGCCCCUGGAGCUCUGAAGGAAGGUCUGGGGGCAGCAGGGGACCUGGAUGGCUGGGGUAG